GUGUUGGAUAGUAACUCCUCAUUUCUUCCUACCCACAGAGGAUGGCAACCACUAUUCCACAAAUUGCUUCCACAAAUUUUACCAUUUUUUGUUCCUCACCUAGGUAAGCCAUGUAGUCAUUGUCUUUCAGUGAUGGAGUCAUUGUUUAUUGAAAAAUUUCCUUCCUUUUUAUGGUGGGCAUAUUCCAUCAUUUAUACCACAUUUCUUUAUUCAUCUAUUUUUUUGAUGGACAUUUAGGUUGUUUCCACAUCUUGGCUGUUAGUAAUAAUGCUGCAAUGAACAUGAGAGUAAUAUCCCUUUAAAAUCCUGAUUUCAAUUCUUUUCAAUAAAUUCCCAGCAGAGGUAUUGCUGGUUCUCAUAUGAUAGAAUUAUUUAUAAUUUUGAAAGGAACCUUCACCCAUUUUCCAUGGCAGCUCCACCAUGUUGUAUUACCAACAGUGUAGAAGUAUUGCCAUUUCUCCUCAUCCUCACCAAAACUUUUCCUCUCUUGUUUGUUGAUAAUCCAUAUCCUGACAGGCUUGAGGUGGUAUUUCCUUGUAGUUUUGAUUUGCAUUUCCCUAAUGACUAGUGUUAUUAAAAGUUUUUCUAAUACCUG
RNAcentral lists this long non-coding RNA (595 nucleotides) under Marmota monax (woodchuck). Lineage: Eukaryota; Metazoa; Chordata; Mammalia; Rodentia; Sciuridae. The record is from RNAcentral.